UCGAACGCUGGCGGCAUGUCUAAGGCAUGCAAGUCGAACGUUCCAUUCUGCGAUUAUAUCAAGGUCUAGAAAGUGGCAAACGGGAGAGUAACGCAUUGGUAACUCACCCUGCACUCGUGAAUAACCCAUGGAAACGUGGGCUAAUACACGAUAUUGAGGGAAGGUCUAUGACCUUUCUUUGAAAGCUCCGGCGGUGCGGGAGAGGCCUAUGUUCUAUCAGCUAGUUGGCGGAGUAAAAGCCCACCAAGGCUAUGACGGAUACCGGGCGUGAGAGCGUGACCCGGCUCACUGGGACUGAGAUACUGCCCAGACACCUACGGGUGGCUGCAGUCAAGAAUCUUCCACAAUGCACGAAAGUGUGAUGGAGCAAUGCCGCGUGUCGGAUGAAGGCCUUCGGGUCGUAAACGACUGUUCUGGGGGACGAACCUAUGACGGUACCCCAGCAGAAAGUGGUUGCUAACUCUGU
Molecule: ribosomal RNA, 466 nt
Filed under: uncultured bacterium
Lineage: Bacteria
Description: partial 16S ribosomal RNA
Rfam family: Bacterial small subunit ribosomal RNA
Source: RNAcentral